GUGCCAGCAGCCGCCGGGGUAAUACGUAGGGUGCGAGCGUUAAUCGGGAUUACUGGGCGUAAAGGGUGCGCAGGCGGUUUUGUAAGACAGGUGUGAAAUCCCCGGGCUUAACCUGGGAACUGCGCUUGUGACUGCAAGACUUGAGUGCGGCAGAGGGGGGUGGAAUUCCACGUGUAGCAGUGAAAUGCGUAGAGAUGUGGAGGAACACCGAUGGCGAAGGCAGCCCCCUGGGUCGACACUGACGCUCAUGCACGAAAGCGUGGGGAGCAAACAGGAUUAGAUACCCUGGUAGUCCACGCCC
This 301-nucleotide ribosomal RNA is filed under the name uncultured bacterium. RNAcentral's name for it is "bacterial SSU rRNA". It matches the Rfam family "Bacterial small subunit ribosomal RNA", at positions 505 to 802 of the family's 1533-position model. The record is from RNAcentral.